Molecule: ribosomal RNA, 150 nt
Filed under: uncultured bacterium
Lineage: Bacteria
Description: partial 16S ribosomal RNA
Source: RNAcentral
CUUCUGUUGUUACGUCACGGCUAGCAGGUAUUAACUACUAACUUUUCCUCACAACUGAAAGUGCUUUACAACCCGAAGGCCUUCUUCACACACGCGGCAUGGCUGCAUCAGGGUUUCCCCCAUUGUGCAAUAUUCCCCACUGCUGCCUCC